RNAcentral lists this small RNA (120 nucleotides) under Marmota monax (woodchuck). Lineage: Eukaryota; Metazoa; Chordata; Mammalia; Rodentia; Sciuridae. The record is from RNAcentral.
GCUGGGUGUGGUGAUGCAUACCUGUAAUCUCAGCUACUUGGGAGGCUGAGGCGGGAGGAUUACAAGUUUGAGGCCAGCCUAGGCAACUAGAUCAGGCAAUUUAGGGAGACCAUGUCUCAG